GAAUUUCCCCCUUUGCGUUGCGGAUAUUGGGUGAAGACUUUGUAAUUCCGGGGAGGUCUAUAGGCAUCUUUUGGGAACAAAACGGACAUUCGGCGCAAAGGAUGAUCUCGGGGCUAUCAGGUAGUUGGUGGGGUAACGACUUACCAGGCUACGACGAGUAGCUGGUCUGAGAGGAUGUCAGCCACAUUGGAACUGAGAUACUGUCCAGACUCUACGGGAGGCUGCAGUCGAGAAUCUGGGCAAUGCACGAAAGCGUGACCCAGCGACGCCGCGUGAAGGAUGAAGGCCCUCCGGGUCGUAAACUUCUUUUAUAGGGGAAGAACACAAUGACGGUACCCCAUGAAUAAGCCACGGCUAACUACGUGCCAGCAGCCGCGGUAAUACGUAGGUGGCAAGCGUUGUCCGGAUUUACUGGGCGUAAAGGGCAAGCAGGCGGAUUGUUAAGUAGAAAGUGAAAGGUCGGGGCUCAACCCCAACAUUGCUUUCUAUACUGGCAGUCUUGAGUCCCGGAGGGGAGAGCGGAACGACACGUGUAGCGGUGAAAUGCGUUGAUAUGUGUCGGAACACCAAUGGCGAAGGCAGCUCUCUGGACGGGUACUGACGCUCAUUUGCGAAAGCCGAGGUAGCGAACAGGAUUAGAUACCCUGGUAGUCUCGGCCCUAAACGAUGAUCACUAGGUGUCGGGGGGUUUCCCUCGGUGCCGCAGCUAACGCAUUAAGUGAUCCGCCUGGGGACUACGGCCGCAAGGUUGAAACUCAAAGGAAUUGGCGGGGGCCCGCACAAGCGGUGGAGCAUAUGGCUUAAUUCGAUGCAACGCGAAGAACCUUACCCAGGCUUGACAUGUACCUGCAAGCGCUCCAAAAGGCGCCGCUUUCGAAGGUGGUACACAGGUGGUGCAUGGCUGUCGUCAGCUCGUGUUGUGAAAUGUUGGGUUAAGUCCCGCAACGAGCGCAACCCUCAUGUUAUGUUGCCAGCGAGUAAUGUCGGGAACUCGUAACAAACUGCCUAUGUAAAUAGGAGGAAGGUGGGGAUGACGUCAAGUCAUCAUGCCCCUUACGCCUGGGGCUGCACAUAUGCUACAAUGGAUGCUACAAACAGUUGCGAUCCCGCGAGGGUAAGCUAAUCUGAAAAAAGCAUUCUCAGUUCGGAUGUGGAGUCUGCAACUCGACUCCAUGAAGCCGGAAUCGGCACUCAUCCGCAGGUCAGCAUACUGCGUUCGUAAACAAAAAAAAUAACGGGG
This 1240-nucleotide ribosomal RNA is filed under the name uncultured bacterium. RNAcentral's name for it is "partial 16S ribosomal RNA". It matches the Rfam family "Bacterial small subunit ribosomal RNA", at positions 121 to 1378 of the family's 1533-position model. The record is from RNAcentral.